This 441-nucleotide ribosomal RNA is filed under the name uncultured bacterium. RNAcentral's name for it is "partial 16S ribosomal RNA". It matches the Rfam family "Bacterial small subunit ribosomal RNA", at positions 338 to 795 of the family's 1533-position model. The record is from RNAcentral.
CCUACGGGUGGCAGCAGUGGGGAAUAUUGCACAAUGGGGGGAACCCUGAUGCAGCGACGCCGCGUGAGUGAAGAAGUAUUUCGGUAUGUAAAGCUCUAUCAGCAGGAACGAGACAAGACGGUACCUGACUAAGAAGCCCCGGCUAACUACGUGCCAGCAGCCGCGGUAAUACGUAGGGGGCAAGCGUUAUCCGGAAUCAAUGGGUGGAAAGGGAGCGUAGACGGCUGAGCAAGCCUGAAGUGAAAGGCGGGGGCCCAACCCCCGGACUGCUUUGGGAACUGUACGGCUGGAGUGCAGGAGAGGUAAGUGGAAUUCCUAGUGUAGCGGUGAAAUGCGUAGAUAUUAGGAGGAACACCAGUGGCGAAGGCGGCUUACUGGACUGUAACUGACGUUGAGGCUCGAAAGCGUGGGGAGCAAACAGGAUUAGAUACCCGAGUAGUC